Molecule: long non-coding RNA, 1064 nt
Organism: Triticum aestivum (bread wheat)
Lineage: Eukaryota; Viridiplantae; Streptophyta; Magnoliopsida; Poales; Poaceae
Exons: 6
Source: RefSeq, a predicted model, not a curated record
UAUUAUGGGAAACAGAAUUGGCAAAAAGUCUGUAUCCAAUCCAAACAACCCCAAGAAAGGUUUAAUCCUCAUCUCACUAAAUAAACAACCUUAUCCUAAUCGUAUACCGAUACUACACAUCUAGCUAGCCUUAUAUAUAGGAGAGAUUCAAUCUACCUCCAGUUUUUUGCUUCACCGGCGGUGCCAAUCCAACAGACCUACCAGUGCAAAACGCGGAGGGAGAGAGGGGAGUCGACCGUGACAAGAAUGUGCCACUAACAAAUAUGGGUAUUGUUAACCAUGAAAAAGAACCUAUCAACAAGAGCGAUGUGCAGAUAGAAAUAGCAAAUUCGCAUCAUAACAAACCAAGAAGAGCAAAUACAAAUAUUACACCACAAGAUUAUAUUUGCACACGGGACGAUAUUUCCGUUAUUAAAUCAAUCAUGUCCUUGCAUGAAAAAACGAAGUUGGUGCACAUCAAUGAUGCAUUAUUAAGGAACGCUGAGAUGAGAUGCCUUACGCAUGAUGAUGGGCAAACUUAUAGUUGUUGGGAUUUGGGGUGGCAACUUGAUUGAGAACUCAUAUAGGUGGUCAACAACUGAAGGCAAUAAAUCUAUUGUCCUUGCCACUAUGCUUCGUAAGGAUUGCAAAUACGGAAAUCUAGAAACUUCAAAUUACACCAUUCUUGCAUUCAACCCGGAUCAUACUGCAGCACGCGCACUUGAUGAUAUUCGCCAGAAAAUAAUAGGUGGGUUGAUUGAUAUGAAGUUUGUUCACCAAUUUAUUGAGUGGAGGUGAGCUUUCCUAGCAAGCGAGUUGUCUACAAAGGAUCCCGACACAGGAUGUAUACAAAGAAAGCUCGGCGCAUGUAGUAAGAUAGUAGACAUUGGUUAUGCCUAUUAUAGGAUGUAUACAAAGAAAGCUCGGCGCAUGUAGUAAGAUAGUAGACAUUGGUUAUGCCUAUUACGCAUGAUUGUGUGUUUCAAUUUGUAAGUGUAGUUAUCACGUACUUGUUUUGUAUCUACUAUGUAGGUGACUGUUUCGUCAUGUUUGUUUGUGUCUAUGGUGUUUUAAGGGAUGUGCUA